Schistosoma haematobium is the source of this 46-nucleotide non-coding RNA. The record is from Rfam. Lineage: Eukaryota; Metazoa; Platyhelminthes; Trematoda; Strigeidida; Schistosomatidae.
UCACUGUUGAGGAGUCCCACAAUAGGACGAAACGGCCGUUCAGUGC